Molecule: non-coding RNA, 212 nt
Organism: Peromyscus maniculatus bairdii (prairie deer mouse)
Lineage: Eukaryota; Metazoa; Chordata; Mammalia; Rodentia; Cricetidae
Source: RefSeq, a predicted model, not a curated record
ACACCAGUUUCUCCAAGACUGGCAAGUUGGCUCAGCAGAUAGAGAUACUCGAGGCAUGACUCUGGUCACCAAGACCCCCAUGAUGGAAAGGAGAGAACUGACUCCUGGAGGUUGUCCUCUGACUUUCCCACGAUGAUCCUGAACUCACCUACACAUCAUAUACACAAAGUAAUGAUAAAUGAAUAAAUAAAAAUUUAAAAGAAAACUUAAUA